Non-coding RNA from Trichobilharzia regenti, 215 nucleotides. The record is from Rfam. NCBI's taxonomy places the organism in Eukaryota, Metazoa, Platyhelminthes, Trematoda, Strigeidida, Schistosomatidae.
GACUAGUGUCAAAUCAAAGAACAGUAGAGUAAAUACCACAACUCCUUUUCCAGCAGUUUAAACGAACUGAUUAAACACCUUCAAAGCAGCCAAACUUAAGAUCGGUAGGCAAAUGCCUCAUCAUCUAAUUAGUGACGCGCAUAGAUGGAUUAACUAGAUUCCUACUGUUCUUAUCUACUAUCCUAGCGAAACUACAGCCAAGGGAAUAGUCAUUG